RNAcentral lists this ribosomal RNA (795 nucleotides) under Paenibacillus sp. RNAcentral describes it as "bacterial SSU rRNA". It matches the Rfam family "Bacterial small subunit ribosomal RNA", at positions 51 to 842 of the family's 1533-position model. Lineage: Bacteria; Bacillati; Bacillota; Bacilli; Caryophanales; Paenibacillaceae. The record is from RNAcentral.
CUAUCUGCAGUCGAGCGGAGCACUUCGGUGCUUAGCGGCGGACGGGUGAGUAACACGUAGGUAACCUGCCUAUUAGACUGGGAUAACUAUCGGAAACGAUAGCUAAGACCGGAUAACUGGUUUUCUCGCAUGAGAGAAUCAUGAAACACGGAGCAAUCUGUGGCUGAUAGAUGGGCCUGCGGCGCAUUAGCUAGUUGGUAGGGUAACGGCCUACCAAGGCGACGAUGCGUAGCCGACCUGAGAGGGUGAACGGCCACACUGGGACUGAGACACGGCCCAGACUCCUACGGGAGGCAGCAGUAGGGAAUCUUCCGCAAUGGACGCAAGUCUGACGGAGCAACGCCGCGUGAGUGAUGAAGGUUUUCGGAUCGUAAAGCUCUGUUGCCCUAGACGAACAGCAAGGCGAGUAACUGCGCUUUGUGUGACGGUAUAGGAGAAGAAAGCCCCGGCUAACUACGUGCCAGCAGCCGCGGUAAUACGUAGGGGGCAAGCGUUGUCCGGAAUUAUUGGGCGUAAAGCGCGCGCAGGCGGUUAAUUAAGUUGGGUGUUUAAGCCCGGGGCUCAACCCCGGUUCGCAUCCAAAACUGGUUGACUUGAGUGUAGGAGAGGAAAGUGGAAUUCCACGUGUAGCGGUGAAAUGCGUAGAGAUGUGGAGGAACACCAGUGGCGAAGGCGACUUUCUGGCCUAUAACUGACGCUGAGGCGCGAAAGCGUGGGGAGCAAACAGGAUUAGAUACCCUGGUAGUCCACGCCGUAAACGAUGCAUACUAGGUGUUGGGGGAUUCGAUUCCCUCG